Molecule: ribosomal RNA, 344 nt
Filed under: Marine Group I thaumarchaeote
Lineage: Archaea; Thermoproteati; Nitrososphaerota
Description: partial 23S ribosomal RNA
Rfam family: Archaeal large subunit ribosomal RNA
Source: RNAcentral
CGAUGUCGGCUUUUCCUAUCCUGGUCCUGCAGCAGGGGCCAAGGGUGAGGCUGCUCGCCUAUUAAAAGGGAACAUGAGCUGGGUUUAGACCGUCGUGAGACAGGUCGGUCUCUGCCUGAUGGAAGCGCGGCUGUCUGAGGGGAAGUUGCUCUCAGUACGAGAGGAACAGAGCAACGUGGCCACUGGUCUACCGGUUGUCUGAUAAGGCAGGCCGGGCAGCUAAGCCGUUUGGAUUAAGUGCUGAAAGCAUCUAAGCACGAAACCCAUCCCGAGACAAGACAGCCUUUCGUAAGAUGAAGGUUCGCAGAAGAAGACUGCGUUGAUAGGAUGGAUGUGUAGAUCAC